Long non-coding RNA from Marmota flaviventris (yellow-bellied marmot), 385 nucleotides. RefSeq lists it as uncharacterized. The record is from RefSeq and is a predicted model, not a curated record. NCBI's taxonomy places the organism in Eukaryota, Metazoa, Chordata, Mammalia, Rodentia, Sciuridae.
GGGGAAGAGGAGGCCAGUGUCUUCCAGACACAGCUCCGAUGAAGACUGCGGUAAGAGUACACCAGUCUCGAGCCAGCCGAAACAAGGGUGCACUUGAGCUGGAGAGCCUGAUGAGAACCUGACAUUCCAUCACUUGUCACCAUUUCCUGAGCCUCUGAGUGAUCCUCACCGCUCUCAAACUCUAAGCCUCAUCUGGACCUUGGUGAGAGCCGCAACUUCUCCCUACGACCCCCUCCUCAACUGGUCAUCCACUCCAUGCCAGGAGAAGCCUGCCUUGGUUCCGGACCUGGUCACUGUGGUCUGAGUUCUUCCUGGCUCACUGCUCAUCCCUUCUAGGCACACCACACACCAACCGGAACACCCUCCACCGGAACUUCACCAACCC